This 1413-nucleotide long non-coding RNA is filed under the name Oncorhynchus kisutch (coho salmon). RNAcentral's name for it is "lncRNA (ENSOKIG00005038287.1)". The record is from RNAcentral. Lineage: Eukaryota; Metazoa; Chordata; Actinopteri; Salmoniformes; Salmonidae.
AUGCUUAACACCCCAGCCAUCCUACAAUCUAAACUUGAUGCCCUCAAUCUCACACAAAUAAUCAAUGAACCUACCAGGUACCUCCCCAAAACCUUAAACACGGGCACCCUCAUAGAUAUCAUCCUAACCAACUUCCCCUCUAAAUACACCUCUGCUGUCUUCAACCAAGAUCUCAGCGAUCACUGCCUCAUUGCCUGCAUCCGUAAUGGGUCAGCGGUCAAACGACCUCCACUCAUCACUGUAAAACGCUCCCUGAAACACUUCUGCGAGCAGGCCUUUCUAAUCGACCUGGCCGGGGUAUCCUGGAAGGAUAUUGAUCUCAUCCCGUCAGUAGAGGAUGCCUGGAUAUUUUUUUUAAAUGCCUUCCUAACCAUCUUAAAUAAACAUGCCCCAUUUAAGAAAUUUAGAACCAGGAACAGAUAUAGCCCUUGGUUCUCCCCAGACCUGACUGCCCUUAACCAACACAAAAACAUCCUAUGGCGUUCUGCAUUAGCAUCGAACAGCCCCCGUGAUAUGCAGCUGUUCAGGGAAGCUAGAAAUCAUUAUACACAGGCAGUUAGAAAAGCCAAGGCUAGCUUUUUCAAGCAGAAAUUUGCUUCCUGCAACACUAACUCAAAAAAGUUCUGGGACACUGUAAAGUCCAUGGAGAAUAAGAACACCUCCUCCCAGCUGCCCACUGCACUGAAGAUAGGAAACACUGUCACCACUGAUAAAUCCACCAUAAUUGAGAAUUUCAAUAAGCAUUUUUCUACGGCUGGCCAUGCUUUCCACCUGGCUACUCCUACCCCGGACAACAGCACUGCACCCCCAACAGCAACUCGCCCAAGCCUUCCCCAUUUCUCCUUCUCCCAAAUCCAUUCAGCUGAUGUUCUGAAAGAGCUGCAAAAUCUGGACCCCUACAAAUCAGCCGGGCUAGACAAUCUGGACCCUUUCUUUCUAAAAUUAUCUGCCGAAAUUGUUGCCACCCCUAUUACUAGCCUGUUCAACCUCUCUUUCGUGUCGUCUGAGAUUCCCAAAGAUUGGAAAGCAGCUGCGGUCAUCCCCCUCUUCAAAGGGGGGGACACUCUUGACCCAAACUGCUACAGACCUAUAUCUAUCCUACCGUGCCUUUCUAAGGUCUUCGAAAGCCAAGUCAACAAACAGAUUACCGACCAUUUCGAAUCUCACCAUACCUUCUCUGCUAUGCAAUCCGGUUUCAGAGCUGGUCAUGGGUGCACCUCAGCCACGCUCAAGGUCCUAACCGAUAUCUUAACCGCCAUCGAUAAGAAACAUUACUGUGCAGCCGUAUUCAUUGAUCUGGCCAAGGCUUUCGACUCUGUCAAUCACCAUAUCCUCAUCGGCAGACUCGACAGCCUUGGUUUCUCAAAUGAUUGCCUCGCCUGGUUCACCAACUACUUCUCUGAUAGAGUUUAG